GAUGAAGAACGCAGCGAAAUGCGAUAAGUAGUGUGAAUUGCAGAAUUCCGUGAAUCAUCGAAUCUUUGAACGCACAUUGCGCCUUCUGGUAUUCCGGAAGGCAUGCCUGUUCGAGAGUCAUUAACAACCGUUUCGAUCCCUUUCUUUCAGAAAUUACAAAGAGGAAAAGGGUUUGGUUAUGGUGGAGGAGGGAAAGGGAGCGUUUAGCCUGUAAAAAAAGAGGCUGUGUUCCGCCUCCCCCCCAAAAUUGUACAGGCGGUCGUGUGCGCCCACGCAUCGAGGUGUUGUAAAAGCUGCCACGGCACUUUUCACCUGUGCAGUGCGAGAUUGGCCAGCCGGUUUAAAAACCCCUCCAAACAUUCAAAGGUUGACCUCGGAUCAGGUAGGGAUACCCGCUGAACUUAAGCAUAUCAAUAAGCGGAGGA
This 425-nucleotide unclassified non-coding RNA is filed under the name soil metagenome. Its description in RNAcentral is "partial contains 5.8S ribosomal RNA, internal transcribed spacer 2, and large subunit ribosomal RNA". The stretch from base 1 to 120 matches the Rfam family "5.8S ribosomal RNA", at positions 35 to 154 of the family's 154-position model. The record is from RNAcentral.